CAAUUUUCACCCCUAAUGAACAAAAAUUUUCAUUUUUCCAUAAACAGAAGUUUUCAAUUUUUUAACCCCCCAUUAACAAAAAUUUUCACCCCCCAAUGAACAAAAAUUUUCAAUUUUCACUUCCCAAUUAACAAAAACUUUUAAUUUCCCAGUGAGAGUGGCGAGGACUGCGUGGUGAUCCUGGAUGACGAUGAGGAUGUGCAGGAGAUCCCCGAUGAUGGGGAUGGUGAGAAACCCCCAAUUCCCCCCCCCAAAACUGUGGGGGGACCCCAAAAUUCCUCCCCUGAGUAAAUUGGGGGGGUCAGAGCUGAUUUUGUGCCCCCCAAUUUUCCCUUUUUUUCCAGGCAGUGGCGUUGAAGAGAUCCCGACAGAGGAGCCCCCCGUGGGACACAGAGACCCCAAAAUGUAAUUUGGGGAGGGGGAUUUGGGGGUGCUGCACAUCCCCAACCCCCCGGAAUUGCGGGUAAUGAGGGGCUGGGGUCCCCCAAAACAGCUCAGGGUGUUUGAAGGCCUUUUCACAUCCCCCUCCCCAUUUUUGGGGGGUCCUAAAUCUCCUCAAUCCCCCCCUCACACACCAAGGGGACGAACACAAACAUUUCCUCAUUUCCUGGUUGGUUGUUUUUUUUUUUUUUUUUGUACAUUUUGGGUUCAAAACUUGUAAAAUUUGCUUUUUAUAUUGAAGAAUUAUAUUAUAAUAAAGAGAAAGUUUUAACAGAUUUAUGUGAGAUUUCCUCUUGAAUCACAAGGGAGUUUGUGGGGGAUUUCAGGGGGAUCUUCUUCUUCUCCUUCCUCUUCCUCCUGCUCUUCAAUUCCCACAAUUUGUGGUGGAAUUUUCCCCCUCAUCCCCACCGGUUCCGGUGCUUUCCCAGUUUCCAUCCCGUUCCCGGUGCCUCCAUCGCCCCGGUCCCGGUUUCCCUCCUCGUUUCUAUCCCGGUCCCGGUGCUUCCAUCCCGAUCCCGUUCCCGCUGCCCCAGCCUGGCUCCAGUCCCGUUCCCGCUGUCCCGGCCUCGCUCCCCGUCCUGAUCCCGUUCCUGGCUCCAUUCCCGCUGUCCCAGCCUGGCUCCGGUCCCGGUUCCUGUCCCAGUCCCGCUGCCCCAGCCUCUCUCCGGUCCCGUUCCCAGUCCCAAUCCCGUUUCUGGUCCCGUUCCCAUUCCCGCUGCCCCAACCUCGUUCCGGUCCCGAUCCCGUUCCGGGCCCUGUUCCUGCUGCCCCAGCCUGGCUCCGGUCCCGUUCCCGGUGUCCCAGCCUCGCUCCGGUCCCGAUACCAAUACCGUUCCCAGUCCCGAUCCCGUUCCUGGCCCCGUUCCUGCUGUCCCAGCCUCGCUCCGAUCCCGUUCCCGGUCCAGUUCCCGGUCCCCUUGCCCCAGCCUUGCUCCGGUCCCGAUCCCAAUCCUGUUCCUGGCCCCGUUCCCGCUGCCCCAGCCCCGCUCCGUUCCCGCUGUCGCUGUCCCGGUCCCGUUCCCGUUCCCGCCGUCGCUGUCCCGUUCCCGGCCUGCCCCUCCCCGCCCUCCCGCCAGGGGGCGCCACAACCGCGCGUCUCCACCAAUCAGCGGGCGGCAAAUCUGC
Junco hyemalis (dark-eyed junco) is the source of this 1566-nucleotide long non-coding RNA. NCBI's taxonomy places the organism in Eukaryota, Metazoa, Chordata, Aves, Passeriformes, Passerellidae. The record is from Ensembl.